Long non-coding RNA from Prinia subflava (tawny-flanked prinia), 2019 nucleotides. RefSeq lists it as uncharacterized. The record is from RefSeq and is a predicted model, not a curated record. NCBI's taxonomy places the organism in Eukaryota, Metazoa, Chordata, Aves, Passeriformes, Cisticolidae. The transcript has 2 exons.
GGGUGAACUCAGCCUGUGACUAUUAUUGCAGACAGCUCAGCUGAAGAACGUGACUGACACUUCACCAGGUGACUGUCAUCUCCACAUCCUUCAGCAGGUCAGGGAGGACCAUUUUCUCUCCUCCACUGCUCUGCUCCUGUGGAUGCUGAAGACGAGAGGUCAGGCAGCAACAGCAGAAUUUAUGAGAAAUCGAGAGGCAGGAUUUUCUGAAGAAAGAAGCGUGAAGACCAGAAGCCAUCUGCUUCUGUGGUGGGGAUGGACACAGGUUCUUGUGGCAGAGGGGAGUAUGGACAGUACAGCAGAUCUGGGGCUCUAUUUUUAUGCAAAGAAAAAUGGAUGUUUUAACUCUCCUUCACUGUGCCUUGUCCCACUCCACUAUUGCAAAUGCUGACAGGUAAAUGGAGAAAAACAACAGUGAGUUUGAAUCUUCACUUUUUGGUAUCAUUCAGUGCUAUCAGUUAAACCACUUUUGUCUGAUGAUUGCAGCUGCAGAUGCUUUUACAGUUUCCAUUUACAUUUACCUUUAAUGGGUAUCUUGUCUGAUAGGGUCCCAGUGGCUGUGAAUGACAUAUUUGAGCUUCUUGUGUUAAAAAGGAUCAAAGACAGAAAAAACCAACAGCAGGGACACACAUCUAGGACAGGACAGAGGUUACACCAGCAACUGUAUUAGGCCAAGCUGUAAGGAGAUGUAAGAGGACAAAGUCAGUCCUUGGACACAACAAUCACUGUGGAGUCAAAUAAGGCCCAUGUCAGAGACAUUUGCUGAAUGUGACUGCCAUCCUGGGAAUCACCUCAUCUUAAAUCCAUCUCCCAGAGUUAAGCUUUGGUAUUGUCAGACUGAUCACCAGAUAUGUGUGCAUUGUACUACCAGGCCCUCUUUGUGCUGCCUAUGAAAUAACAGCAGGUUGUGUUCCCUCCUAAGGGGGGAGGAUUUUGAAUUAGUUCGACUUGUCAGGGCUGGAUUAUUGCAAUUCUUUGUUUGCAGGAGUUAGCAACCAUGUUAUCUCUGGAAUGCAGCUGAUACAGGAUGCAGCAGCUCGCAGUCUUUUGGACACAGUCGUUUCAACAUAGUACUCCCUUUCUAAAAUCUCUGCUGGCUUCUGGUGAAAUUUUGUGUCAAGAUCAAAGUCCUGCAACUAGUACAGGCUAUGUUGGAUGUUAAACUGGUUCCCUUUGCUGGUAGCAUGUUCUUUGCUGCUCAGCAAGAUCUUAAUUAUUGUAAAGGCACAUGGAAGGAGAGAGCCUCUGCUCCAUGAGGGAUGUAUUGCCAAAGGCCUUCCUAAUGCAAAAGGGGAUCGCAGAAAAAGGAGAAAACCACAAGCAAGAAGGCACAAGGGUGCAAACCUAAACAACAACUGAUACAUGAGGCAGUGAUGGGAGUCAGUCACACUGACAGAUAAGGAUUUUGGAUAUAAUAAGGUUAAUUUUGGUAAAACUAUCUGAUCCAAGACCUUGUCAAUAGGAUGAUAAAGACAAGAGAGAAGCCAUAAACCAAACAGAGACUCAAACCUGGCAGACAACUGCAAUGGAAAAAAGGACAAGAAACUAACCUGGAUAUGAGCAGCCAGCAAGACAGCCUGCUUAGAAAGGGAAAAUUGCUAAACAGAAGUAAUUAUCUGCUGAGAAAAUACUGACAGAAAAGGCUUUCCAGCCUGGAGGCAUGCGUCUGGGAACAAGAAAAAGCCUUGAUAAGACCUGCUGGCCUCUUGGAAAGGCAGCCAGAGUACCUUCAAAUUGGAGAUAUGGAAAGGAGCCAUCCCUCCAGUCACUUCAGACUCUCGCAGUCCCUCCUCUCACCUCUGUGAGGCACUUCAGUUCCCUGUAUGUCACAUCUAUUUCUCAUGUUUGGUACUGAGCUGACAUCUAAAACUGCAACAGCUCAAGUACUGUGGGGGUAUUCAUCCAUCACUAUCUCAAAACCUCAAGAUGUCUCCUCUUGUUGUAAUUUUCUGGUUUUCCUCCUUUUUUUUUUUUUUUUUUUUUUUUUUUUUUUUUUUUUUGUUUUGUUUUGUUUUGUUU